This 482-nucleotide ribosomal RNA is filed under the name uncultured bacterium. RNAcentral describes it as "partial 16S ribosomal RNA". It matches the Rfam family "Bacterial small subunit ribosomal RNA", at positions 28 to 507 of the family's 1533-position model. The record is from RNAcentral.
GAUGAACGCUAGCGGCAGGCCUAAUACAUGCAAGUCGGACGGGAUUCAGGAGCUUGCUUCUGAUGAGAGUGGCGCACGGGUGCGUAACACGUAUGUAACCUACCUUUAUCAGGGGGAUAGCCUCUCGAAAGAGAGAUUAAGCCCGCAUAAAAUCACAGCACAGCAUUGUGUAAUGAUCAAAUAUUUAUAGGAUAAAGAUGGGCAUGCGGAACAUUAGCUAGAUGGCGGGGUAACGGCCCACCAUGGCGACGAUGUUUAGGGGAUCUGAGAGGUUGGCCCCCCACACUGGUACUGAGACACGGACCAGACUCCUACGGGAGGCAGCAGUAAGGAAUAUUGGUCAAUGGGCGGAAGCCUGAACCAGCCAUGCCGCGUGCAGGAAGACGGCCCUACGGGUUGUAAACUGCUUUUAUACGGGAAUAAACCCAGAUACGUGUAUCUGGCUGAAUGUACUGUAAGAAUAAGGAUCGGCUAACUCCGUG